Ribosomal RNA from Cercocebus atys (sooty mangabey), 114 nucleotides. The record is from Ensembl. Lineage: Eukaryota; Metazoa; Chordata; Mammalia; Primates; Cercopithecidae.
GAGUCUGGCUAUACCAACCUGAACAAGCCCAAUCUCACCUGCUCUCAGAGGCUAAGCAGGGUGGGGCCUGUUUAGUACUCAGGUGGGAGAAAGAGAAUCAGGCAGACAUAUGUC